ACAGCAGCAGCCACGGUAAAACGUAGGGUGCAAGCGUUAAUCGGAAUUACUGGGCGUAAAGCGUGCGCAGGCGGUUAUAUAAGACAGAUGUGAAAUCCCCGGGCUCAACCUGGGAACUGCAUUUGUGACUGUAUAGCUAGAGUACGGCAGAGGGGGAUGGAAUUCCGCGUGUAGCAGUGAAAUGCGUAGAUAUGCGGAGGAACACCGAUGGCGAAGGCAAUCCCCUGGGCCUGUACUGACGCUCAUGCACGAAAGCGUGGGGAGCAAACAGGAUUAGAUACCCCCGUAGUCCCUGUCUCUUAUAC
RNAcentral lists this ribosomal RNA (305 nucleotides) under uncultured bacterium. RNAcentral's name for it is "partial 16S ribosomal RNA". It matches the Rfam family "Bacterial small subunit ribosomal RNA", at positions 505 to 807 of the family's 1533-position model. The record is from RNAcentral.